CCCAGACUCCUACGGGAGGCAGCAGUAGGGAAUAUUGCUCAAUGGGGGAAACCCUGAUGCAGCGACGCCGCGUGGGUGAAGGAGUAUUUCGGUAUGUAAAGCCCUAUCGGCAGGGAAGAAGCAAGACGGUACCUGACUAAGAAGCCCCGGCUAACUACGUGCCAGCAGCCGCGGUAAUACGUAGGGGGCGAGCGUUAUCCGGAUUCACUGGGUGUAAAGGGAGCGUAGACGGCCAUGCAAGCCAGGGGUGAAAGCCCGGGGCCCAACCCCGGGACUGCCCUUGGAACUGUGCGGCUAGAGUGCGGGAGGGGCAGGCGGAAUUCCUGGUGUAGCGGUGAAAUGCGUAGAUAUCAGGAGGAACACCGGCGGCGAAGGCGGCCUGCUGGACCGCGACUGACGUUGAGGCUCGAAAGCGUGGGGAGCGAACAGGAUUAGAUACCCUAGUA
Molecule: ribosomal RNA, 446 nt
Filed under: uncultured bacterium
Lineage: Bacteria
Description: bacterial SSU rRNA
Rfam family: Bacterial small subunit ribosomal RNA
Source: RNAcentral